GACAGAGGCCCCGAGCGUUAGGCGGAAUCACUGGGCUUAAAGCGCGUGUAGGCGGAGGGCUAAGUACCUUGUGAAAUCCCCGGGCUCAACCCGGGAACUGCUGGGUAUACUGGUCUUCUUGAGGCAUCUAGGGGCGAGCGGAACAAACGGUGGAGCGGUGAAAUGCGUAGAUAUCGUUUGGAACGCCAAUGGUGAAAACAGCUCGCUGGGGAUGUCCUGACGCUGAGACGCGAAAGCCAGGGGAGCAAACGGG
Molecule: ribosomal RNA, 253 nt
Filed under: uncultured bacterium
Lineage: Bacteria
Description: partial 16S ribosomal RNA
Rfam family: Bacterial small subunit ribosomal RNA
Source: RNAcentral